This 73-nucleotide transfer RNA is filed under the name Dipodomys ordii (Ord's kangaroo rat). It matches the Rfam family "tRNA". From Rfam's summary of the family: Transfer RNA (tRNA) molecules are approximately 80 nucleotides in length. Their secondary structure includes four short double-helical elements and three loops (D, anti-codon, and T loops). Further hydrogen bonds mediate the characteristic L-shaped molecular structure. tRNAs have two regions of fundamental functional importance: the anti-codon, which is responsible for specific mRNA codon recognition, and the 3' end, to which the tRNAs corresponding amino acid is attached (by aminoacyl-tRNA synthetases). tRNAs cope with the degeneracy of the genetic code in two manners: having more than one tRNA (with a specific anti-codon) for a particular amino acid; and 'wobble' base-pairing, i.e. permitting non-standard base-pairing at the 3rd anti-codon position. Lineage: Eukaryota; Metazoa; Chordata; Mammalia; Rodentia; Heteromyidae. The record is from Rfam by way of RNAcentral.
GAAAGUGUGGCUCAAGUGGCAGAGUGUAUGCCUAGUAAGUAGAAGGCCCUGAGUUCAAACCUUGGUACUUUAA